Acinonyx jubatus (cheetah) is the source of this 3558-nucleotide RNA transcript. It is a transcript of the gene named mitogen-activated protein kinase 7, with no coding region annotated. The record is from RefSeq and is a predicted model, not a curated record. NCBI's taxonomy places the organism in Eukaryota, Metazoa, Chordata, Mammalia, Carnivora, Felidae. The transcript has 7 exons.
AGCGUGGUCUUGGGAGGCGGGGCGGGGGGACCGGCUGGGCAGAGCACGACGCUGAGGUGGUGGCGGCGGCCUUAAACAAGUGAGCGAGCGACUCUUUUAGUACCCCUCCACGGGGGACGGGAGAUCGGGGAGGCAGGGGGCACCGGCGACCUCCGAAGGCCCCGAGGAGGUGUCGGAGUGGGGCGCCAUUCGGUGAGUGUUGACCGAGAAAAGCGAAGUGCCCCGCCCCUCCCUUUCUUCCUGGACCGCGCCUGGCGGCGCCUCCCCCACCUCCCACCCUGCGUUCCACCCCGGACCUGAGCUCUGGGUUCCAAGUCCGGGUGUGGGACGACGACUGCGUGCCAGCCGCUCUCUUUCGCUCCCUCCCUGGCCCCCGUCGGCUUGGGGAACUUGGUAACUCCCUGGUACUGCUCCCCAGCCUCAUAGAGGGGAAACUGAGGCCUGGGAGGGCGGCGGGCCCCUCCUCACCAGCGUCUCCGCACAGAAGCCAUGGCCGAACCCCUGAAGGAGGAAGAAGGCGAGGACGGCUCUGGGGAGCCGCCCGGGCCGGUGAAGGCGGAACCCACCAACACCGCUGCCUGUGUAGCGGCCAAGAACCUGGCCCUGCUGAAAGCGCGCUCCUUCGAUGUGACCUUUGACGUGGGGGACGAGUACGAGAUCAUUGAGACCAUAGGCAACGGGGCCUAUGGGGUGGUGUCCUCAGCGCGCCGACGUCUCACCGGCCAGCAGGUGGCCAUUAAGAAGAUCCCUAAUGCUUUUGACGUGGUUACCAAUGCCAAGCGGACCCUCAGGGAGCUGAAGAUCCUCAAACACUUCAAGCACGACAACAUCAUCGCCAUCAAGGACAUCUUGAGGCCCACGGUGCCCUACGGGGAGUUCAAAUCUGUCUACGUGGUCCUGGACCUGAUGGAGAGCGACCUGCACCAGAUCAUCCAUUCUUCCCAGCCACUCACUCUGGAGCACGUGCGCUACUUCCUGUACCAGCUGCUUCGGGGCCUCAAGUACAUGCACUCGGCUCAGGUCAUCCACCGCGACCUCAAGCCCUCCAACCUGUUGGUGAAUGAGAAUUGUGAGCUCAAGAUCGGUGACUUCGGCAUGGCCCGCGGCCUGUGCACCUCGCCGGCUGAGCACCAGUACUUUAUGACUGAGUAUGUGGCCACGCGCUGGUACCGUGCUCCUGAGCUCAUGCUCUCACUGCACGAGUACACGCAGGCCAUCGACCUGUGGUCUGUGGGCUGCAUCUUUGGUGAGAUGCUGGCCCGGCGCCAGCUCUUCCCAGGCAAAAAUUAUGUGCACCAACUGCAGCUGAUCAUGAUGGUGCUGGGUACUCCAUCGCCGGCCGUGAUUCAGGCCGUCGGGGCUGAGAGGGUGCGGGCCUAUAUCCAGAGCCUGCCGCCACGUCAGCCCGUGCCCUGGGAGACAGUGUACCCAGGCGCUGACCGCCAGGCCCUCUCACUGUUGGGGCGCAUGCUGCGUUUUGAGCCCAGCGCCCGCAUCUCCGCAGCUGCUGCCCUUCGCCACCCCUUCCUGGCCAAGUACCACGAUCCUGAUGAUGAGCCCGACUGUGCCCCGCCUUUUGAUUUCGCCUUUGACCGUGAAGCCCUCACCCGGGAGCGCAUUAAAGAGGCCAUCGUGGCUGAAAUUGAGGACUUCCACGCGCGACGCGAGGGCAUCCGCCAGCAGAUCCGCUUCCAGCCUUCCCUGCAGCCUGUGGCCAGUGAGCCUGGCUGCCCCGACGUUGAGAUGCCCAGCCCCUGGGCUCCCAGCGGGGACUGUGCCAUGGAGUCCCCUCUGCCAGCCCCGCCGCCGUGUCCUGGCCCUGCACCUGACACUAUCGAUCUGACCCUGCAGCCACCCCUGCCCGCCAGUGAGCCAGCCCCUCCGAAGAAAGAGGGCGCCAUCUCAGACAACACCAAGGCGGCCCUCAAAGCUGCCCUGCUCAAGUCCUUGCGGAGCCGACUCCGAGAUGGCCCCAGUGCUCCUCUGGAAGCUCCUGAGCCUCGGAAGCCGGUGACAGCCCAGGAGCGCCAGCGGGAGCGGGAGGAGAAGCGGCGGAGGCGGCAGGAGCGAGCCAAGGAGCGGGAGAAGCGGCGGCAGGAGCGGGAGCGCAAGGAGCGGGGGGCCGGGGCCUCUGGGGGCCCCUCCACUGAUCCCCUGGCUGGGCUGGUGCUCAGUGACAACGAUCGCAGCCUGUUGGAGCGCUGGACUCGCAUGGCCCGGCCCCCAGCCCCCACACCGGCCCAGCCCACCAGUCCUCCGGCUGGCCCCCCACCGCCACCUGUAGGCUCCACCUCUGGCCCCCCGCCACAGCCUGCUUGCCCACCCCCUGGCCCUGCUCCCCACCCUGCCAGCCCUCCGGGGCCCGUCCCUGGCCCUGCUCCACUCCAGAAUGCCGCCUCUAGCCUCCUGGCUCCCCAGUCGCUUGUGCCGCCCGCCGGGCUGCCUGGCCCCGGCUCCGUAGGUGUUCUGCCUUACUUCCCAUCUGGCCCGCCCCCUCCAGACCCCGGAGGGGCCCCUCAGCCCUCCACCUCAGAAUCGCCCGAUGUCAACCUGGUGACCCAGCAGUUGUCCAAGUCACAGGUGGAGGACCCCUUGCCCCCAGUCUUCUCGGGCACUCCGAAGGGCAGUGGGGCCGGCUAUGGUGUUGGCUUUGACCUGGAGGAAUUCCUAAACCAGUCUUUCGACAUGGGCGUGGCUGACGGGCCACAGGAUGGCCAGGCAGACUCGGCCUCACUCUCGGCUUCCCUGCUUGCUGACUGGCUGGAGGGCCAUGGCAUGAACCCUGCCGACAUUGAGUCCCUGCAGCGUGAGAUCCAGAUGGACUCCCCAAUGCUGCUGGCUGACCUGCCUGACCUCCAGGAGCCCUGAGGCCCACGGCCUGUGCCUUGCUGCGGGGGGCAGACCCAGCUACCAGACUCACAGAAACGUCUCCAAGGGCUGGAGCCUUGGGCCCAGCAGCAGAAGCUUGGCUAGAUUAUUCUGCAGGUUCAUCUCAGACACACUCUGCAGCCUUAAGCAGCCACCUGAGCCACCACCAAGCCAUGGAAGGAUCAGGAAACCUCUACUCCUUGAGCGAUCCUUUUCAGGCUGUGCUAAGAAGUAAUCUAGAACAAGUGCCUAUAUACCAUAUGCCACAAUACCCACGACGCGUGACUCUACCUACAAUCGGUAAGUAAGAAAUUUUAGUUAUCGUCGUUAACGUCACGAUUGUGAUCUCAGGUGAACGGUGUGCCUUCCAUGUGAUUUUUCUCCUUGCCUGUGGAAGAGAUAGUCGCCUGCCUCUCCGUAUCCUCCAUCGUUCCCUCAGUCCUUUGUAAAGGCAGGGAGCUACUCCGUCUUCCUGCCGUUUGCCCUGUUGCCGGGCACGAUGGCUGGAGCUCCAGCCACCUCUUUGGCCAGUGAGGAUGAGGCCCCGUCAAGAGAUGGCAGAAGGUGGGUGUGUCUGGCUGGCUCAUUCGGUAGAGCAUCCAACUCUUGACCUUGGGGUUGUGAGUUUGAGCUCCACGUUGGGUGUAGAGAGCACUCAAAAAAGAAAAAAAAAAAAAAAAAGAAAAAAGA